Oncorhynchus keta (chum salmon) is the source of this 158-nucleotide long non-coding RNA. RefSeq lists it as uncharacterized. The record is from RefSeq and is a predicted model, not a curated record. Lineage: Eukaryota; Metazoa; Chordata; Actinopteri; Salmoniformes; Salmonidae. The transcript is spliced from 4 exons.
CAGGUAUCUGUUACCGUGGCUACUAAACCAUACAGGUAUCUGUUACCGUGGCUACUAAACCAUACAGGUCUUUGUUACUGUGGCUACUAAACCAUACAGGUCUUUGUUACCGUGGCAACUAAACCAUACAGGUCUUUGUUACUGUGGCUACUAAACCA